Long non-coding RNA from Ictidomys tridecemlineatus (thirteen-lined ground squirrel), 787 nucleotides. RefSeq lists it as uncharacterized. NCBI's taxonomy places the organism in Eukaryota, Metazoa, Chordata, Mammalia, Rodentia, Sciuridae. The record is from RefSeq and is a predicted model, not a curated record.
UAAAAAGAGCUGGGGAUGUAGCUCAGUGGUAGAGUACUACUGGGUUUAGUCCCUGGUACUGCAAAAAUUUUUGAAUAAAUUUAAAAACACUUAAAAGGUCUUAUUUCUAGUGAAAAAAAAGGGGGAGUAGGUUCUGAAUUGGGAUGGGGUAGGCCAGAUAGCCUUAUAUAUACAAGACAAAGAGAAAGUCACAAGCCUCUACAUAACAAAAUGAGAAUUAUUUUUCAGUUUGGUAAACCAAAUAACAGGAAAAACAAAGUAGAGGAAGCCCCUAAGAAAUCCCCUGUUGGGAUAAUAGGGAGGUAGGAUUAUGUGAACAUUAGCCAAUAACAAGUUUAUCUUUGCUUAUUUAAGUGGGAUGCACCAGGUUUUUGUAAGGUGAGUCUGACAGCUUUGGGAUGAUGGUAGCAGGAAGCCAUAAUCCAGAGCCCAAUACAUCAAGUAGAAGCAGAUGCUUCAGGACCUCACUAAGUUGCUGAAGCUGACUUUGAACUCGCCAUUCUCCUGCCUCAGUAUCCUGAACCACUGGGACUGCUAAGGACAAUAAUAACCGAGUCACUUGUUUUGAAGUAUCCUAUAUGUAAACAUACAAAGCUGCAAUUUCCAUUACUGAUCCCAUCCAACAUUUGAACUCUGGAACAUUUUUGAAAUGCCAUGAAUUAUGGUGGUGAAGCAAGAAAAGGAGCUGAUGGAAUCUAAGGGAAAUUAUUCUCUGAAAUCUACCUCUAAAAGAUUAUAACAUUACGUUUAAAAAAUGAUUUGAAGAUUAAAACACCAAAGUUGUAAA